Molecule: ribosomal RNA, 301 nt
Filed under: uncultured bacterium
Lineage: Bacteria
Description: partial 16S ribosomal RNA
Rfam family: Bacterial small subunit ribosomal RNA
Source: RNAcentral
CAGCCGCCGCGGUAAUACGUAGGGUGCGAGCGUUAAUCGGAAUUACUGGGCGUAAAGCGUGCGCAGGCGGUUGUGUAAGACAGGUGUGAAAUCCCCGGGCUUAACCUGGGAACUGCGCUUGUGACUGCACAGCUAGAGUAUGGCAGAGGGGGGUGGAAUUCCACGUGUAGCAGUGAAUGCGUAGAGAUGUGGAGGAACACCGAUGGCGAAGGCAGCCCCCUGGGCCAAUACUGACGCUCAUGCACGAAAGCGUGGGGAGCAAACAGGAUUAGAUACCCCCGUAGUCCCUGUCUCUUAUACA